This 468-nucleotide ribosomal RNA is filed under the name uncultured bacterium. RNAcentral's name for it is "partial 16S ribosomal RNA". It matches the Rfam family "Bacterial small subunit ribosomal RNA", at positions 28 to 507 of the family's 1533-position model. The record is from RNAcentral.
GACGAACGCUGGCGGCGUGCUUAACACAUGCAAGUCGAGCGGAAAGGCCCUGCUUUUGUGGGGUGCUCGAGUGGCGAACGGGUGAGUAACACGUGAGUAACCUGCCCUUGACUUUGGGAUAACUUCAGGAAACUGGGGCUAAUACCGGAUAGGAGCUCCUGCUGCAUGGUGGGGGUUGGAAAGUUUCGGCGGUUGGGGAUGGACUCGCGGCUUAUCAGCUUGUUGGUGGGGUAGUGGCUUACCAAGGCUUUGACGGGUAGCCGGCCUGAGAGGGUGACCGGCCACAUUGGGACUGAGAUAAGGCCCAGACUCCUACGGGAGGCAGCAGUGGGGAAUAUUGCACAAUGGGCGGAAGCCUGAUGAAGCAACGCCGCGUGCGGGAUGACGGCCUUCGGGUUGUAAACCGCUUUCGCCUGUGACGAAGCGUGAGUGACGGUAAUGGGUAAAGAAGCACCGGCUAACUACGUG